UUUUUUUUUUUUUUUUUUUUUUGAGAGAGAGAGAUCAUCCCUGCUCCACUCAUCUAUUCUUCCUAAAUCCUGCCUCCAAUUUGCCUUAAACCAAAAUGAGAGUGCCUGCAGGUCAAACAGCCCAUCCCCAACUAAUGGAUCUAGAAAACAUCAUCAGUACACAAACUACCUGAAGUGAUUCCAAAUGGAAAGAAAAUAGAGAAAAUCCUUUCUCCAACUCAUAAUCACAUAAACAAAUUUAAUAUAGAAAUGGAAAAUAUCCAUUCUAAGGGGUCAGGUAGAUUCGACUUCUUUCCUAUCCCUCCUCCAUCCUUCCCAACAGUGUCUGCAAUCUCUCGGACCCUCCUGCUCCCAGCAAGCCCAUUGGCUAGGUGAGAGAGGUAAGCAGGCCGGUGCCUCUGAGUGGCAAGAGACAGUGACCAAACAUGCCUGUCCUUUGUCACUAACCACCUUUCUUGUUUCCCCUUCUGCUGAGCCAUCUGCAAGAAAAUGUCAACAUGUGCUGCAGGGAGAAAAUGUAUUUGCUAAUUUAUGUGCUGGGUAAAUUCACUUAUUCAGUAGAAUAAUAAAAAUGUGACUGCUCACCACCCUUUCCUUCGAGAGUAAAGACAUCUUUAUUAAUGAUUUUAAAACCUGAAGAAACGGCAAUGCCUGCUCUGUUUACAUUUCCCUAUAUUAAAUGCAAGACAUUCUCUUGCUGGUGGCAAAACAUUGAAAAUACCCUUCUGGUCAUGAUUUAUUGCUGGAGGAAUUUUAUUAAAUUGGGAUGUGACCAUGUGUCUAGCUAUCAAUUACAUCACUGGGAAAAGAAAACAACAGAGAUUUACAUUUUCAGUAAUUCCUGAAAUAAGCACUCUGUGUUCCUGGAGGUGUUAGAAAAUAUUUUCCAAGACUUCAUAUUUUAACCCUCCAAGGUCCAGAGCUUCAAAUUCUGCAUAUUCUGGUGCUAAAGAGAGUCAUAGAUGAUCCUAGUCUUUCUUCCCCUUGCACCAACUGGAGGAUUUUAUAUCCUAUCCCCCAUGUGCUGUAGCUUUGCUGAUCAAAGCCUGUUCUACCACAGACCUCCUUGAUUCUGAAUUUGGCCUGAAUCCACAAAUGAGCAUUCAAUUAGGACCAGAGAAGCAUUCAGAUUUGGGCUAGCACAGUUAUAAGUAAACCAGAAGAAGAGAUACAGGAUGACAUGUUUAAGUCCUAAUUAGAGGAUCUGAGCCAUUUCGGGGGAGGGAGUUAAAUUCCAAGUAGAUACAGAAAAAAGGUACUUCAGGAUUAGCAUGUAAAUAGAGAUUUAUGAAUAAUUUCUGGACUAAGAAAGAAGGUGUCACAGAGAAGGUCCCCAGUAUUUGAGAUUCCUAUGAUAAAAGACAGUUCCUUCCUAUUAGCACACAGAUGGUUCCAAGCUGAAUCAGUGCUACUGAUAACUCCCCAGGCUGGCUUUUAAAAUAGGAUUUUGGAGAGAGUAGGAGAAAUCCAACUUAUGUGUUUACAUGGCUACUAAAGGCUACUAGCAGAAGGAACAGUUGUGAACUCCAUAGAUCCAGGGUGGAAUGACAUGCACCAAAAUUAGAAAGGGCCCCUUCAAUGCAACUGAGGUGGAAGCUGGGUCACCACUGUAAAGAAUAGUGGGUACUAUCUGAAUUCCCAUAAUAGGGUAAAGAGACAAUUCCCUGGUCCAAACAAGCCAUUCAUCAUAUCCUAGAAGCUCUAUCCCAAUAAGCAUGGAGCCAGAAAGCCACAAUUGGGAAAGCUCUAACUGGUCAAGUGCCCAAAUGAAUAAAAAUUAAAGUAAAGGCACUUAUUUUUAUAAUGCAGAGUCUGGAAGCAAGUUCACCUUGUGAAAAGAAAAACUUCUGCUGAACCACAUCCACUUACUUUGUUAAUUUGAAUGAAUGAAAAGCUCAUUAACUAGCACACUUCAGUGUUACCUGGCAACCCUGAUAAAUCACAUACUCUUAAAUACUAUAAAAUCUCAGGUCAUCUUGUUCACUCUUAAAAACCUACGCAGGUAAAAACUAUAAAUCCACAGAUCCAAGAACCUGAAUGAACAUCAAGCACAAGUAACAGGAAGAAAACUGAAGGCAUAUCAUAACCAACUGCACAAAACCAGUGGUAAACAGAAAAUCCCAAAAGUAACCAAAGGAUAAAAAGAUGUCACAUACAGAGGAACAAGAGAAAAGCAAAAGAAUAAAUUUCAUCAGGGAAACAACACAAAAACACAAAGGAGCAACAUCUUUAAAGUACUGAAAGAAAAACUGUCAACCUACAAUUCUAUACUUGGCAAAAAUGUCUUUCAAAAAUGAAGUUGAAAUAAAGAAUUUUUCGGAAAAACAAAAGCUAUACAAAUUCCUCAGCAGCAGACAAGAAGUACAAGAAAUGUUAAAAAUGAUACUUUGGGCAAAAGGAAAGCUACACCAAAUGGAAAUAUGGAUCCACACAAAGAUACAAAGAGCUCUGCAAAUGGUAACUGCAUGCACUGUCAGAAUCCACAUUGUUAUAUAUAUUAAUUGCUUUCCUUACAGUAAUUAUCUUGCUGGAAAUAUGUUUUAACCUUUUAGCUCUUGCCUGUAUAGUAUUGCUUUCUUUGAUACUAUCUUGAGUUAAGUAGAAGUGCAAAGUAAUAGCUUUAUAUAACACUAUUCAAAGAUAACAAAACCCAGGACUCCAGAAAAUCUAUUAUUCUCCUGAAAGAGCUAUAAAACUGGGGGAAAUGAGAUAAUAUAUACAGUGGAGGAAGCAACCCAUAACUCACUGAAAAAAAUCAGAAGGCCAUCAAAAAUAACAUGAGUAAGAAACUGCCAAACAUUUUCCAAAAUCACUGUACCAUUUUACACCAUUGACAGCAAGCCAUCAGAGUUUCAGGUAUUCCACAUCCUUACUAACAUCAGACACUGUCAGUCUUUUAAAUGUUAUCCAGUAUAAUGGAUGUGAAACAGUGUAUUAUUAUGGCUUUAAUUUGCAUUUCCAUGAUGACUAAUGGUUUUGAUCUUUCCAUAUGCUCAUUGCCUAUCUGUAGAUCUCCUUUUAUGAAGUUUUGUUCUGAUCUUUUGGUUAUUUCCUAACUGGGUUGUCUUCUCAUUAUAAAGUUGUAAUAUUUCUUUAUAUAUUCCAUAUUCAAGUCUUUUGUCAUAUAUAUACAUAUGCACAUGCACACACACAUAUGCACACACAUAGAGAUAUAUCUAUUUUCCCAGCCUCUGACUUGUUUUUACAUCUUCCUAAUGAGCUGUUUCAAAAAGUGCAAGUUCUCAGCUGGAAACAAACCAAAUGUCCAUCAACAGGUGAAUGGAUGAACAGAUUAUGUUAUACCCCACAAUGGAAUACUAAUCAGCAAUAAAAAAAUAAUGAAUUACUGAUAUACUCAAUAACAGAAAUCUUAAAAAGAUGAUACUAAGAAGCCAGACAUAAAAGAUUAAUACUAUAUGAUUUCAUGUAUAUGGUGAAACUCAUGUACAGUGACAAGAAAGUAGAUCAGGUCUCCUUGGGCUGGAGAAUUGAUUGCAAAGAUGCCAGAGAAAACUUCCAGCAAUGGAAAUGUUCUAAAUCUUAACUGUGGUGGUAUUUACAUAGGUACAUAUAUUUGUUAAAAGUGAAACUGUACAAUUUAAAUUGGCAAAUUGUAUUGCAUGAAAACUAUUCUUCAAUAAAAUUGACUUUUAAAAGGCAGUCUUCCCUGUUAUCAGUGGGGACUUUCUUUUUCUAAAAGUUUAUGGAAGGGUCUGUUUACAUUCAUAAGUAUGAAAGAUCACACUAACAGAUAUAAAGAUGCUGGCUGCCCCUUAUUUCUAUUGACUAUUUCUAGAAUGCUUUCACAAGGCUAAUAUUUUAAACCAACACUUAAGAUUGGGCUUAGCACAAUGGAUGGCCUUACCAAGUAAAGACACAUUUAUUACUAAUGUACUUAUUGAUCUCUCCUGGUUGUUUAUUUUCCAGAGUCCCAUAAAACCAUUGGUAUGGCAAAAGACUAUGUUGCUGAAGACACGGCAGAAAUAUUCAACACAAAUAUAUUCCACUGCCUAAAAUCUCCUGUUCCCCUGUGUAUCUUCCCAUCUGUGUCACCAUGCAAACAACCUUUUCAACCUGCUCUGCAAAGAGGAAUGACCUGGUAUUCUGCUGCCAAAUUCAUCUCCAAAAACAGAAAUAUGGGUUGCAUUUUUGGAAGCAAACAGUAAUUCUCCUAAUGCUGAUGAAUCACAAUACAACACAGCCCAGCAGGGUCCUGAAGCUUGCCCAGGCAGCCAUGUUCCCACCCCAGUCCCUGAAAGCUGAUACAUCUAUAACUUCUAGUUUACCAAACCAUGUAUUGAAGCUUCUCAAGCUGGAAACUACAUACCUCUAGCAGUGUCCUGCAUCUUACCAGGGAGCACAUUAAGCCACAAAAUAACAUGGUCUAUAUUUUCUGGAGCAUCAAUUUUAUAUGGAUGUUUAGCAAGGAUAAAUGUUUUUAUGUUAAAAAUAGUCAUUCUGAUUAUGGAAGAGAAAGCAAUAUUCAUAUGACUGGUUAAGAUUUUAAAAAGACACUUCGAAGACAUUUCCUACCUGCUAUAGCUGCUUCAGAUUAAACCCCAAAAAUCUUCAAACCCUCUAGGGUACAUAAUCCCUUUUCUAUGUUAAGGGUACAUUCCAGAAAAACAAAAGGCUGCCAAAAAAAAAAAAAACAGAAUUAUUAUUGAAACCAUUAAACUGAUGAGAAUCAGAAAACCCACAUUUUGGCAUGUUCCCAGUCUCCCACCAACUGGUUCUAACCCAGGGGUUCUGCAGAAGUCACAUGCUAGACCCAACAACCACAGAUUUAGCCCUGAUUUAACCAUAUAUCUAUGAUACCACUUCAGAAGAACUGCCAUAGUUUUUACAUCUAUAAAAUAGAGAUGACAACAAUACAUAGUUUAUAAAGUACUGUGUACUUAAAUCACCUGGCCAAAAUGAGUGAUAAGUAAAUGCUGGCUGCCUAUCAUCAUUGCUGUUGUUUUAUUAUUGUUUUAAUCUCUAUAUAGCAUAGCAUAACAUCUUAAAAUUUACAGCAAUCCAUUCAGUAAUAGAUUAUUGACUAUUCACUCCCAAAUGCAGAGGGAAGUAAUGAGAAUUCUGGACAUGUAAUCUGAAUGCUCAGCCUUUCAAGAAUCCUUAUUGAGACUGGUAUACUCCCUGGGUAUCAAGUGACAUCUACGAAAGAAAUAAGGGCUUUUUCUGGCUGAGCUUCAAAAAGUGACCCAAAGCAAGCUCUGGUCUUCGGUUAUGCAGUACAGAUGUGUUUAAGAAGUAACUCAGUCCUUCUUAACAAACAGAAGAUCAAUUUGUACCUGCAAGUGUCCAGGUAUAUAUUCAUACACAACAGGAAUAUCUAUGACUAAGAGCCUGCCAUCGACACAAGGAGGUCCCAUCAUCCUGAGUAGGAACUCCCAGAAGGCCACCACUGAUCAGAAGUUUGCCUUGCAAUGACAGAAUGACAGCCAAGACAGUAGCAUGUUUUCAAGGGAUGUUUCUAACAAUGUCAAACUGAUGAGUUAUUCUCCUAUAUUCCAGGGAUAUUUCUACUUAAAUAAUUUGGGGAAUCUUCCCUGACAAAACACUGGAGAAUUCUUAUUACAUGUCACCUAAAUUUCCUCAAGCCUCAUCAAUACUUCUUUCCCCAGAGCCUUACCCCAACAUGACAUAAGACCUCAAGCUUCCAGAUUUCUCAUCCAGUUACUUCUUGGAAUUCCCGGAAAUAAAAUACAUAAGUUGAUAAAUAAUCCUUCCCAGUAUAGUUCCUCCUUUUUGAUGUGUUUUACCUGAGCAAUACCUCGAGAGCACUGCUAUCCCUGCAAAGGGCACAGUCUCUAAGAGCCCUUAAGACCAACGACACAGAAGGUGUACUAUAAUAUUGCUGUGUGUGAUAGAGUUAGUGGUCCAUCAGAUUCAUAUUCUCCUUUCCUAGACAAGAAGUGUUGCUAAGCAGUUGUCAAAACAUGGACUUCAUUCUCUAUCCCCAUUUGCAUCUAGGUAGGACCAUGUGACUAAUCCUAACUAGUGAAGUAAAAGUAAUGUACGCCCUUUCCAGUUUGAAUGGCUAAAAGAAGUGGGUAUGCAUUCUCCAUGCUGUUUCUUUCUCUAUUUGCCAGUGGAUACAUGUUAAAACUAGCAAACUCUCUGAGUCCCUGAAUGACUCUGGGAAGCAGAGAUUUGGGGAUUUGUCUCUUACAGCAGCCACCAACACCUUAACUAUGAUACUAUGUUCACCACUGCAGUGUAGAAGACCCUGUGAUGCUGGGGCCCCAAAGCAAUAUGGACUGUGCUCACAAGUCUUGCCAAAGACCCCAUGAAAACAGGUGGCUUCUUUGGUUUACUCUAAAAGAAACAAAUAGGCAGUGCCAGUGUUGGGAACAAGCCAAAGGAUACAGAUGAGAGCCAAGCCCUCCUUUGUGUCCCUUGUUUUCUCACAAAGGUCUGGCCAGAAUUUCAUGGUCAUGGACUCCCCUAUGAAGUAAGACAUCCACCAGAACAAGGGGUCUCUGGACUAUGGUCUCACUACUACCUCCAACAACCUUAGAAUCCAGGAACUUAAACCACCAUAAAAGGCAAAACUUGGACUAUUAAGCAAGUCAUAUCAUCCUGGGCAAAGUUCAGGUUCCAUGCUCUAAAUCACUGCUGUGCCAGGAGCCAUCUCCCCCUACUUGUGUCUAACUACAGAGCCCAGAAGUUUUCCAUUUCUUUCAGUGAGAUGGAAAUGCCAUGCCAUGACCUGCCACAAUCUGCCCCCCUAGGACCACAGCAACACAUACUGACCUCUUUAUUACCUUGGCCAGAUUCACCUUACAAAUGGGUUAGCAUCUGCAGAUGAGAGAGAAAGUGGAGAGGUAGUGACAUAAGUGAAACUUGAGAUAACAAAGAGUCAUCAGAGAAGUUAAGCAAGAGGAUUCUAAGACACAAUCAUAUCUGUGAUUCAGGAGAAAGUCAUGUGGGGAAAAUGUAAAGGCAGGGACUCUAUCACAGCCAAUCAGGAGAGAUGACCACGUGGCAUCCAGUCCCCAAACUGUCCUUACUCGCAACUGCCUCAGCUCCUCCUGCAUAUACUUAUGGUUUGCUGGGAUGUAUGGGAUCUAAGAUCCCUUUACUCUGACUGCAUCAUCUGUCCUCAUUCUGCAUCCUUCCAUGAAAAAUAUGUAGGCUCUGUCCACUCACUAAAUGGGAGUUUUGUGUCCUUCUUCAAACGCACUUUAACAGAGGAGUAAUCCCUUCCUGUUAGAUAAAGUCACCUCUUCACUGUCCUGCUACCAGCCUUCUGAUUCCCCUUCUGGUUCUCCUGAGUGGUCCCUUGCCCACCACCAUCCAUCCCCAAUUAAUGACCAAUCAGAAUUGUCAGAGCCGUCAACAACCUUUCUCCCCAAUUCCCUCCACCUUGGGCUAAAACCCCAAAUCCUACUGAUUCUAUUUCCUGAAUAUGUCUCAAGGUCUUCAACUGUCAUUCUUCUACACUGAUGCCACCUAAUCCAAGCCAGUAGCAACCUUCUCAGAAGGACUAAAUACCCCCCCCCCAAUCCUGGAGGUGCCAUAUCUGUUCUUGUUCCCUCCAACCUAGUUUCCAUACUGCAACCAAAAUUAUCUUUUGAACACUUA
Molecule: long non-coding RNA, 7590 nt
Filed under: Canis lupus familiaris (dog)
Lineage: Eukaryota; Metazoa; Chordata; Mammalia; Carnivora; Canidae
Description: lncRNA (ENSCAFG00000052481.1)
Source: RNAcentral